Molecule: ribosomal RNA, 426 nt
Filed under: uncultured bacterium
Lineage: Bacteria
Description: bacterial SSU rRNA
Rfam family: Bacterial small subunit ribosomal RNA
Source: RNAcentral
GUGAGGAAUUUUCCGCAAUGGGCGAAAGCCUGACGGAGCAAUGCCGCGUGAAGGAUGAAGGCCUAUGGGUUGUAAACUUCUUUUCUCAGAAAAGAAUUAUGACGGUAUCUGAGGAAUAAGCAUCGGCUAACUCUGUGCCAGCAGCCGCGGUACGACAGAGGAUGCAAGCGUUAUCCGGAAUGAUUGGGCGUAAAGCGUCUGUAGGUUGUUUACAAAGUAUUCUGUCAAAGAUUAGGGCUUAACCCUAGAUAGGAAGAAUAACCUUUUAAGCUAGAGGAUGGUAGAGGCAGAGGGAAUUCCCGGUGGAGCGGUGAAAUGCGUGGAUAUCGGGAGGAACACCAAAGGCGAAGGCACUCUGCUGGGCCAAUACUAACACUGAGAGGCGAAAGUGAGGGGAGCAAAUGGGAUUAGAAACCCGGGUAGUCC